Long non-coding RNA from Serinus canaria (Common canary), 700 nucleotides. RefSeq lists it as uncharacterized. The record is from RefSeq and is a predicted model, not a curated record. The transcript is spliced from 3 exons. Lineage: Eukaryota; Metazoa; Chordata; Aves; Passeriformes; Fringillidae.
AAAAAAAAAAAGAAGAAGAAGAAGAAGAAAGAAAGGGGAGAGGAGGAGCGUUCUCGACGAGCUGCACGAGACGCGCGGGGGAGCGUGGAAGGUACUCUCCAGGUGAUGUGCCAGCCCAUGCCAAGGACAGGUGGCAUCCAGUGGAGUUCUUCACAUUCCUGUGGUUAUUGUAAAGUAUCUUCCACGCACAAAAAAAAAAAGCCAUCAAAUCCCCCACAUUUUUAAUGGUUAUAGUCAUGGUGACAUGUUACUGAAGGAAAUUUAUAUCCAGCACCUGUCUCCCACUUGCCUCUGUUGUGUUUGUGCAGCCCCUUCCCAGCUGUUUGAGAAACACCCUGGGAAUUCCUGUUGGCUCCAGCGUGUAACCUGAUUCAUGGCAAGGAAUGCACGAGGGAGAAACCCCAGCUUAUCAGAAAAAAGGAAAAAGUGCAGGUGGAGAACGGGAGAGGGAGGCUCACUUGAACUUUGGCCUCCCCUGUCACAUCCCUGGUUGGCUGCCAGCUCUCCUCUCCUUGGAGAAUUGGAAUCAGCUCCUCAGAGGUGAAAUUCACCUGGAGCGAGCUGCACCUCGUCCUCCUGCCUCCUAAAAACACUGCUAUCAUCACUACUCUCAAAAGUGCUCUCUAGGAGGCAUUUUAUCUUCAUGAGAUGAGAUUUAUUAAGUUAAGAGCAAUACACGAAUCAGGUAUUGUUGACACAA